Molecule: ribosomal RNA, 207 nt
Filed under: uncultured bacterium
Lineage: Bacteria
Description: partial 16S ribosomal RNA
Rfam family: Bacterial small subunit ribosomal RNA
Source: RNAcentral
UGCGUAGGCGGAUAAGUAAGUCAGUGGUGAAAUCUUUCGGCUUAACCGGGAAACUGCCAUUGAUACUGUUUAUCUUGAGUUCGGUAGAGGUAGGCGGAAUGUGUAAUGUAGCGGUGAAAUGCUUAGAUAUUACACAGAACACCGAUUGCGUAGGCAGCUUACUAUGCCGCGACUGACGCUCAGGCACGAAAGCGUGGGUAGCGAACA